CCUACGGGAGGCAGCAGUGGGGAAUAUUGCACAAUGGGGGAAACCCUGAUGCAGCGACGCCGCGUGAGCGAAGAAGCGUUUCGGCGCGUAAAGCUCUGUCAGCGGGGAAGAAACACGGUUCGCGAGAGCCGCGGACGGCACCCGACCAAGAAGCCCCGGCUAAAUACGUGCCAGGAGCCGCGGUAAAACGUAGGGGGCAAGCGUUAUCCGGAUUCACUGGGUGUAAAGGGAGCGUAGACGGCGAGGCAAGUCUGGAGUGGAAGGCCGGGGCCCAACCCCGGGACUGCUCUGGAUACUGCCUAGCUGGAGUACAGGAGAGGUAAGUGGAAUUCCUAGUGUAGCGGUGAAAUGCGUAGAUAUUAGGAAGAACACCAGUGGCGAAGGCGGCUUACUGGACUGUAACUGACGUUGAGGCUCGAAAGCGUGGGGAGCAAACAGGAUUAGAUACCCGAGUAGUC
RNAcentral lists this ribosomal RNA (458 nucleotides) under uncultured bacterium. Its description in RNAcentral is "partial 16S ribosomal RNA". It matches the Rfam family "Bacterial small subunit ribosomal RNA", at positions 338 to 795 of the family's 1533-position model. The record is from RNAcentral.